UAGGGUCAUAUCACGUUGAAACAUCGGUUCCUGUACGAACACUGAAGUUAGGCAACCUCGAUCCUAGUCAAUACCUAGAUGGGUGACCCUUUGGGAAUACCAGGUGGUGUAA
Acanthosepion pharaonis is the source of this 112-nucleotide non-coding RNA. The record is from the annotation of a GenBank genome assembly. Lineage: Eukaryota; Metazoa; Mollusca; Cephalopoda; Sepiida; Sepiidae.